This 99-nucleotide signal recognition particle RNA is filed under the name Anaerolineales bacterium. RNAcentral's name for it is "signal recognition particle sRNA small type". It matches the Rfam family "Bacterial small signal recognition particle RNA". From Rfam's summary of the family: The signal recognition particle (SRP) is a universally conserved ribonucleoprotein involved in the co-translational targeting of proteins to membranes. Archaeal SRP consists of a 7S RNA and homologues of the eukaryotic SRP19 and SRP54 proteins. Lineage: Bacteria; Bacillati; Chloroflexota; Anaerolineae; Anaerolineales. The record is from RNAcentral.
GAUUGGGUCCCUGGCGGCGAGGGCCGCUGAACCGUGUCAGGUCCGGAAGGAAGCAGCACUAAGGCGACUCCCUCGGGUGCCCAGGAAAACCUGGUCUUC